UUGGGGUGUAUGUAUAUUCAGGCAUUUUGUGAGGUGUUGGACCAUGUUAACUUUCUGGUUCUUUCUUUGUAAAAGAUUGGAAAAGAUGCCAAACUGUGUUGAGUCGGUGUCUUGAAAUUGUAGGGAAGUUUUCAUGAAUUUCUGAUGGUAUGUAUGACAUGGUGGUACCUUACCCGGUUUCUUGGUUUUUUUAACUUUUCUCUUUUGCUGGACCAUACCUCUGAAAAGGUCAAUUAAUCGCAUAUGUAAAGUGUUGUUCACCCUCCCUGCCUUGUCCCCAU
RNAcentral lists this long non-coding RNA (281 nucleotides) under Phaseolus vulgaris (common bean). RNAcentral describes it as "long non-coding RNA (PVUL_LNC003960)". The record is from RNAcentral. Lineage: Eukaryota; Viridiplantae; Streptophyta; Magnoliopsida; Fabales; Fabaceae.